This 1345-nucleotide ribosomal RNA is filed under the name uncultured bacterium. Its description in RNAcentral is "partial 16S ribosomal RNA". It matches the Rfam family "Bacterial small subunit ribosomal RNA", at positions 28 to 1381 of the family's 1533-position model. The record is from RNAcentral.
GACGAACGCUGUCGGCGUGCUUAACACAUGCAAGUCGAACGGAAAGGCCCUGCUUUUGUGGGGUGCUCGAGUGGCGAACGGGUGAGUAACACGUGAGUAACCUGCCCUUGACUUUGGGAUAACUUCAGGAAACUGGGGCUAAUACCGGAUAGGAGCUCCUGCUGCAUGGUGGGGGUUGGAAAGUUUCGGCGGUUGGGGAUGGACUCGCGGCUUAUCAGCUUGUUGGUGGGGUAGUGGCUUACAAGGCUUUGACGGGUAGCCGGCCUGAGAGGGUGACCGGCCACAUUGGGACUGAGAUACGGCCCAGACUCCUACGGGAGGCAGCAGUGGGGAAUAUUGCACAAUGGGCGGAAGCCUGAUGCAGCAACGCCGCGUGCGGGAUGACGGCCUUCGGGUUGUAAACCGCUUUCGCCUGUGACGAAGCGUGAGUGACGGUAAUGGGUAAAGAAGCACCGGCUAACUACGUGCCAGCAGCCGCGGUGAUACGUAGGGUGCGAGCGUUGUCCGGAUUUAUUGGGCGUAAAGGGCUCGUAGGUGGUUGAUCGCGUCGGAAGUGUAAUCUUGGGGCUUAACCCUGAGCGUGCUCUCGAUACGGGUUGACUUGAGGAAGGUAGGGGAGAAUGGAAUUCCUGGUGGAGCGGUGGAAUGCGCAGAUAUCAGGAGGAACACCAGUGGCGAAGGCGGUUCUCUGGGCCUUUCCUGACGCUGAGGAGCGAAAGCGUGGGGAGCGAACAGGCUUAGAUACCCUGGUAGUCCACGCUGUAAACGGUGGGUACUAGGUGUGGGGUCCAUUCCACGGGUUCCGUGCCGUAGCUAACGCUUUAAGUACCCCGCCUGGGGAGUACGGCCGCAAGGCUAAAACUCAAAGGAAUUGACGGGGCCCCGCACAAGCGGCGGAGCAUGCGGAUUAAUUCGAUGCAACGCGUAGAACCUUACCUGGGUUUGACAUGGAUCGGGAGUGCUCAGAGAUGGGUGUGCCUCUUUUGGGGUCGGUUCACAGGUGGUGCAUGCCUGUCGUCAGCUCGUGUCGUGAGAUGUUGGGUUAAGUCCCGCAACGAGCGCAACCCUUGUUCACUGUUGCCAGCACGUUAUGGUGGGGACUCAGUGGAGACCGCCGGGGUCAACUCGGAGGGAGGUGGGGAUGACGUCAAGUCAUCAUGCCCCUUAUGUCCAGGGCUUCACGCAUGCUACAAUGGCUGGUACAGAGAGUGGCGAGCCUGUGAGGGUGAGCGAAUCUCGGAAAGCCGGUCUCAGUUCGGAUUGGGGUCUGCAACUCGACCUCAUGAAGUCGGAGUCGCUAGUAAUCGCAGAUCAGCAACGCUGCGGUGAAUACGUUCCCGGGGCU